RNAcentral lists this ribosomal RNA (838 nucleotides) under Escherichia coli. RNAcentral describes it as "partial 23S ribosomal RNA". It matches the Rfam family "Bacterial large subunit ribosomal RNA", at positions 352 to 1194 of the family's 2925-position model. The record is from RNAcentral. Lineage: Bacteria; Pseudomonadati; Pseudomonadota; Gammaproteobacteria; Enterobacterales; Enterobacteriaceae.
GCGCGAUACAGGGUGACAGCCCCGUACACAAAAAUGCACAUGCUGUGAGCUCGAUGAGUAGGGCGGGACACGUGGUAUCCUGUCUGAAUAUGGGGGGACCAUCCUCCAAGGCUAAAUACUCCUGACUGACCGAUAGUGAACCAGUACCGUGAGGGAAAGGCGAAAAGAACCCCGGCGAGGGGAGUGAAAAAGAACCUGAAACCGUGUACGUACAAGCAGUGGGAGCACGCUUAGGCGUGUGACUGCGUACCUUUUGUAUAAUGGGUCAGCGACUUAUAUUCUGUAGCAAGGUUAACCGAAUAGGGGAGCCGAAGGGAAACCGAGUCUUAACUGGGCGUUAAGUUGCAGGGUAUAGACCCGAAACCCGGUGAUCUAGCCAUGGGCAGGUUGAAGGUUGGGUAACACUAACUGGAGGACCGAACCGACUAAUGUUGAAAAAUUAGCGGAUGACUUGUGGCUGGGGGUGAAAGGCCAAUCAAACCGGGAGAUAGCUGGUUCUCCCCGAAAGCUAUUUAGGUAGCGCCUCGUGAAUUCAUCUCCGGGGGUAGAGCACUGUUUCGGCAAGGGGGUCAUCCCGACUUACCAACCCGAUGCAAACUGCGAAUACCGGAGAAUGUUAUCACGGGAGACACACGGCGGGUGCUAACGUCCGUCGUGAAGAGGGAAACAACCCAGACCGCCAGCUAAGGUCCCAAAGUCAUGGUUAAGUGGGAAACGAUGUGGGAAGGCCCAGACAGCCAGGAUGUUGGCUUAGAAGCAGCCAUCAUUUAAAGAAAGCGUAAUAGCUCACUGGUCGAGUCGGCCUGCGCGGAAGAUGUAACGGGGCUAAACCAUGCAC